CAAGCCGUCACAUAUCAUUUUCCACCUCCCGUAGGGCUCCACAAUUAAUCGAAUUCACAUGGAAAUCACAAUAUUGACAUGUUUAAUAUUCAUACCGCAAGAAAUACAUAUCAUAGCCAUAUUGCAUGCAAAGUGGCAAUGCAUUUUUUUGGAGGGGGGGGGCUGUUUUGCAUGUUAUUUUGGCAUUAAUGCGUGUCACAUAUCAGUUUGCAAACAAUGUAAUAAAAAAUAUCAUUGCCUUAAUAAAGCCGCAUACAAACAUGGACUCUUUUUUGUUUUCUAGAGUAAAGCAGCUCCAAUAUACAGGUGUUUCAGCCCAGCUCAGUGCUUUCUGUGGUGGUGGGGCAGCCAGAGGAAUAUACAGGUGUUUCAGCCCAGCUCAGUGCUUUCUGUGGUGGUGGGGCAGCCAGAGGAAUAUACAGGUGUUUCAGCCCAGCUCAGUGCUUUCUGUGGUGGUGGAGGGGCAGCCAGAGGAAUAUACAGGUGUUUCAGCCCAGCUCAGUGCUUUCUGUGGUGGAGGGGCAGCCAGAGGAAUAUACAGGUGUUUCAGCCCAGCUCAGUGCUUUCUGUGGUGGAGGGGCAGCCAGAGGAAUAUACAGGUGUUUCAGCCCAGCUCAGUGCUUUCUGUGGUGGUGGGGCAGCCAGAGGAAUAUACAGGUGUUUCAGCCCAGCUCAGUGCUUUCUGUGGUGGUGGGGCAGCCAGAGGAAUAUACAGGUGUUUCAGCCCAGCUCAGUGCUUUCUGUGGUGGUGGGGCAGCCAGAGGAAUAUACAGGUGUUUCAGCCCAGCUCAGUGCUUUCUGUGGUGGUGGAGGGGCAGCCAGAGGAAUAUACAGGUGUUUCAGCCCAGCUCAGUGCUUUCUGUGGUGGAGGGGCAGCCAGAGGAAUAUACAGGUGUUUCAGCCCAGCUCAGUGCUUUCUGUGGUGGAGGGGCAGCCAGAGGAAUAUACAGGUGUUUCAGCCCAGCUCAGUGCUUUCUGUGGUGGUGGGGCAGCCAGAGGAAUAUACAGGUGUUUGAGCCCAGCUCAGUGCUUUCUGUGGUGGAGGUGGGGCAGCCAGAGGAAUAUACAGGUGUUUCAGCCCAGCUCAGUGCUUUCUGUGGUGG
This 1103-nucleotide long non-coding RNA is filed under the name Salmo trutta (river trout). RNAcentral describes it as "lncRNA (ENSSTUG00000045722.1)". The record is from RNAcentral. Lineage: Eukaryota; Metazoa; Chordata; Actinopteri; Salmoniformes; Salmonidae.